GGGGAUGUAGCUCAGCUGGGAGAGCGCUGCCUUCGCAAGGCAUAGGUCGGGAGUUCGAUCCUCCUCAUCUCCACCA
Molecule: transfer RNA, 76 nt
Filed under: Pelotalea chapellei
Lineage: Bacteria; Pseudomonadati; Thermodesulfobacteriota; Desulfuromonadia; Geobacterales; Geobacteraceae
Description: tRNA-Ala
Rfam family: tRNA
About the family: Transfer RNA (tRNA) molecules are approximately 80 nucleotides in length. Their secondary structure includes four short double-helical elements and three loops (D, anti-codon, and T loops).
Source: RNAcentral